Molecule: ribosomal RNA, 254 nt
Filed under: uncultured bacterium
Lineage: Bacteria
Description: partial small subunit ribosomal RNA
Rfam family: Bacterial small subunit ribosomal RNA
Source: RNAcentral
AGGACGAACGCUGGCGGCGUGCUUAACACAUGCAAGUCGAGCGGAAAGGCCCUUCGGGGUACUCGAGCGGCGAACGGGUGAGUAACACGUGAGUAAUCUGCCCCUAGCUCUGGGAUAGCUCCGGGAAACCGGGAUUAAUACCGGAUACGACCACCUUAGACAUCUUUUGUGGUGGAAAGAAUUUCGGCUAGGGAUGAGCUCGCGGCCUAUCAGCUUGUUGGUGGGGUAAUGGCCUACCAAGGCGACGACGGGUA